UACGAAGGGGGCUAGCGUUGUUCGGAAUUACUGGGCGUAAAGGGCGCGUAGGCGGUCCUUCAAGUCAGGCGUGAAAGCCCCGGGCUCAACCUGGGAACCGCGCUUGAGACUGGCGGGCUAGAGUUCGGGAGAGGAUGGUGGAAUUCCCAGUGUAGCGGUGAAAUGCGUUGAUAUUAUGGGGAACACCAAAAGCGAAGGCAGCAGACUGGAGCACUCCUGACACUGAAACAAGAAAGCGUGGGUCGCGAAUGGG
Molecule: ribosomal RNA, 253 nt
Filed under: uncultured bacterium
Lineage: Bacteria
Description: partial 16S ribosomal RNA
Rfam family: Bacterial small subunit ribosomal RNA
Source: RNAcentral